UGCGUAGGCGGAUAAAUAAGUCAGUGGUGAAAUCUCUCGGCUCAACCGAGAAACUGCCAUUGAAACUGAUAGCCUUGAGUAUGGUUGUGGUAGGCGGAAUAUAGCAUGUAGCGGUGAAAUGCUUAGAUAUGCUAUAGAACACCGAUCGCGAAGGCAGCUUACCAAACCAUUACUGACGCUCAUGCACGAAAGCGUGGGGAGCAAACAGGAUUAGAUACCCUGGUAGUCC
Molecule: ribosomal RNA, 229 nt
Filed under: uncultured bacterium
Lineage: Bacteria
Description: partial 16S ribosomal RNA
Rfam family: Bacterial small subunit ribosomal RNA
Source: RNAcentral